UUCUAUGGCCAUACCACUCUGAACAUGCCUGAUCUUGUCUGAUCUCAGAAGCUAAGCAGGGUCAGGUCUGGUUAGUACUUGGAUGGGAGACCACCUGGGAGUACCGGAUGCUGUUGGCU
RNAcentral lists this ribosomal RNA (119 nucleotides) under Erinaceus europaeus (western European hedgehog). Lineage: Eukaryota; Metazoa; Chordata; Mammalia; Eulipotyphla; Erinaceidae. The record is from RNAcentral.